This 378-nucleotide unclassified non-coding RNA is filed under the name plant metagenome. RNAcentral's name for it is "partial contains 5.8S ribosomal RNA, internal transcribed spacer 2, and large subunit ribosomal RNA". The stretch from base 1 to 105 matches the Rfam family "5.8S ribosomal RNA", at positions 50 to 154 of the family's 154-position model. The record is from RNAcentral.
GAAAUGCGAUAAGUAAUGUGAAUUGCAGAAUUCAGUGAAUCAUCGAAUCUUUGAACGCACCUUGCGCUCCUUGGUAUUCCUUGGAGCAUGCCUGUUUGAGUAUCAUGAAAUCUUCAAAGUAAAUCUUUUGUUAACUCAAUUGGCUUCUACUUUGGUAUUGGAGGUCUUUGCAGCUUCACACCUGCUCCUCUUUGUUCAUUAGCUGGAUCUCAGUGUUAUGCUUGGUUCCACUCGGCGUGAUAAGUUAUCUAUCGCUGAGGACACUGUAAAAGGUGGCCAAGGUAAAUGCAGAUGAACCGCUUCUAAUAGUCCAUUGACUUGGACAAUACUUUUAUGAUCCGAUCUCAAAUCAGGUAGGACUACCCGCUGAACUUAAGC